Molecule: ribosomal RNA, 490 nt
Filed under: uncultured bacterium
Lineage: Bacteria
Description: partial 16S ribosomal RNA
Rfam family: Bacterial small subunit ribosomal RNA
Source: RNAcentral
AUUGAACGCUGGCGGCAGGCCUAACACAUGCAAGUCGAACGGUAACAGGAAGAAGCUUGUUUCUUUGCUGACGAGUGGCGGACGGGUGAGUAAUGUCUGGGAAACUGCCUGAUGGAGGGGGAUAACUACUGGAAACGGUAGCUAAUACCGCAUAACGUCGCAAGACCAAAGAGGGGGACCUUCGGGCCUCUUGCCAUCGGAUGUGCCCAGGUGGGAUUAGCUAGUAGGUGGGGUAACGGCUCACCUAGGCGACGAUCCGUAGCUGGUCUGAGAGGAUGACCAGCCACACUGGAACUGAGACACGGUCCAGACUCCUACGGGAGGCAGCAGUGGGGAAUAUUGCACAAUGGGCGAAAGCCUGAUGCAGCCAUGCCGCGUGUAUGAAGAAGGCCUUCGGAUUGUAAAGUACUUUCAGCGGGGAGGAAGGGAGUAAAGUUAAUACCUUUACUCAUUGACGUUACCCGCAGAAGAAGCACCGGCUAACUCCGUG